UCUGGUUGAUCCUGGCAGAGGUUACUGCUAUCGAGGUUCGACUAAGCCAUGCGAGUCGAAUGUAGCAAUACAUGGCGUACUGCUCAGUAACACGUGGACAACCUACCCUUAGGUCGGGGAUAAACCCGGGAAACUGGGUAUAAUACCCGAUAGAUCUCGACUGCUGGAAUGCAUCGAGAUCGAAAGCUCCGGCGCCUAAGGAUGGGUCUGCGGCCUAUCAGGUAGUAGUGGGUGUAGCGUACCUACUAGCCUACGACGGGUACGGGUUGUGAGAGCAAGAGCCCGGAGAUGGAUUCUGAGACACGAAUCCAGGCCCUACGGGGUGCAGCAGGCGCGAAAACUUUACAAUGCUGGAAACAGCGAUAAGGGGACCUCGAGUGCCAGGUUACAAAUCUGGCUGUCGUGAUGCCUAAAAAGCAUUGCAUAGCAAGGGCCGGGCAAGACCGGUGCCAGCCGCCGCGGUAACACCGGCGGCUCGAGUGGUAACCGUUAUUAUUGGGUCUAAAGGGUCUGUAGCCGGCCGGAUAAGUCUCUUGGGAAAUCCAGCAGCUCAACUGUUGGGCUUUCAGGAGAUACUGUCUGGCUCGAGGCCGGGAGAGGUGAGAGGUACUUCAGGGGUAGGGGUGAAAUCUUGUAAUCCUUGAAGGACCACCAGUGGCGAAGGCGUCUCACCAGAACGGACCUGACGGCAAGGGACGAAAGCUAGGGGCACGAACCGGAUUAGAUACCCGGGUAGUCCUAGCCGUAAACGAUACUCGCUAGGUGUCGGCCACGGUGCGACCGUUGUCGGUGCCGUAGGGAAGCCGUGAAGCGAGCCACCUGGGAAGUACGGCCGCAAGGCUGAAACUUAAAGGAAUUGGCGGGGGAGCACCACAACGGGUGGAGCUUGCGGUUUAAUUGGAUUCAACGCCGGAAAUCUUACCGGGACCGACAGCAAUAUGAAGGCCAGGCUGAAGACUUUGCCGGAUUAGCUGAGAGGUGGUGCAUGGCCGUCGUCAGUUCGUACUGUGAAGCAUCCUGUUAAGUCAGGCAACGAGCGAGACCCA
This 1046-nucleotide ribosomal RNA is filed under the name uncultured archaeon. RNAcentral's name for it is "bacterial SSU rRNA". It matches the Rfam family "Archaeal small subunit ribosomal RNA", at positions 1 to 1054 of the family's 1478-position model. The record is from RNAcentral.